RNAcentral lists this ribosomal RNA (377 nucleotides) under uncultured bacterium. RNAcentral's name for it is "bacterial SSU rRNA". It matches the Rfam family "Bacterial small subunit ribosomal RNA", at positions 28 to 403 of the family's 1533-position model. The record is from RNAcentral.
GAUGAACGCUAGCGGCAGGCCUAAUACAUGCAAGUCGAGGGGCAGCGCGGUAGCAAUACUGGCGGCGACCGGCGCACGGGUGCGUAACACGUAUGCAACCUACCUUCAACUGGAGGAUAGCCCGGGGAAACUCGGAUUAAUACUCCAUAACACAGGGAUCCCGCAUGGGAAUAUUGUUAAAGCUACGGCGGUUGAAGAUGGGCAUGCGUUCGAUUAGCUAGUUGGUGUAGGUAACGGCUCACCAAGGCUACGAUCGAUAGGGGGUCUGAGAGGAUGAUCCCCCACACUGGUACUGAGAUACGGACCAGACUCCUACGGGAGGCAGCAGUAGGGAAUAUUGGUCAAUGGGCGCAAGCCUGAACCAGCCAUGCCGCGUG